AGUGAACGCUGGCGGUAGGCCUAACACAUGCAAGUCGAACGGCAGCACAGUAAGAGCUUGCUCUUACGGGUGGCGAGUGGCGGACGGGUGAGGAAUACAUCGGAAUCUACUUUUUCGUGGGGGAUAACGUAGGGAAACUUACGCUAAUACCGCAUACGACCUACGGGUGAAAGCAGGGGAUCUUCGGACCUUGCGCGAUUGAAUGAGCCGAUGUCGGAUUAGCUAGUUGGCGGGGUAAAGGCCCACCAAGGCGACGAUCCGUAGCUGGUCUGAGAGGAUGAUCAGCCACACUGGAACUGAGACACGGUCCAGACUCCUACGGGAGGCAGCAGUGGGGAAUAUUGGACAAUGGGCGCAAGCCUGAUGCAGCCAUACCGCGUGGGUGAAGAAGGCCUUCGGGUUGUAAAGCCCUUUUGUUGGGAAAGAACAGCAGCAGGUUAAUACCCGGAUGUUCUGACGGUACCCAAAGAAUAAGCACCGGCUAACUUCGUG
Molecule: ribosomal RNA, 492 nt
Filed under: uncultured bacterium
Lineage: Bacteria
Description: partial 16S ribosomal RNA
Rfam family: Bacterial small subunit ribosomal RNA
Source: RNAcentral